This is a small nucleolar RNA of Tupaia belangeri (northern tree shrew), 78 nucleotides long. NCBI's taxonomy places the organism in Eukaryota, Metazoa, Chordata, Mammalia, Scandentia, Tupaiidae. The record is from Ensembl.
GUGAGCCAAGGAUGAGUUCAAGUUAUCCCUGUCUGAAAUUACCUCUUUUGUGAGGAGCUCCGACUUACUGAGGCUCAU